This is a long non-coding RNA of Erinaceus europaeus (western European hedgehog), 964 nucleotides long. RefSeq lists it as uncharacterized. The transcript has 3 exons. NCBI's taxonomy places the organism in Eukaryota, Metazoa, Chordata, Mammalia, Eulipotyphla, Erinaceidae. The record is from RefSeq and is a predicted model, not a curated record.
GCCAAAGUCCAGAAACCCAGCAAUGGUUCUCCACAGUUUCCCAGACUCUAGGAGCAAUGAAGGAACCAGUCAGGGAGCCCUUAGCUCUGGGCCCACCUCUGUUAAGAAUAGCUUUCAAAUCAGAGCCUGAGUAAACUUAUAACCACAAAGAUUUAUUUUAAGCACCAAGGAGAUUAAAUCAGAGACCUCAGCCCCGGGGUAGAUGAAAAAGGCUCAACAAAACAUUCAUUAACACGGAGCCAAAAAAAAAAAAAAAAAGUGGUCCUGAGGUAUGUGCUUGAUGGCAUCACAUAAAGGGCUGGAAUGUGGAGCAUUGUUUAUUCAAGUUCAAGAACAAAAGCCUGGAAACCCUCAGAACCAGAUUGGCCAGCCAGGGACUGUAAGAAUCACCACUGUCCUCUCAGAAAGAGGCCAACAGAAAAUGACCAAUGUGAAACUCUCACCAGCCAACCUUCCAGAACUGGUCUGAAGCAGAUGUCCAUCUCCAUGGCAGGGCACACGCAAAAGAAAAAAAGAAAGCAGGUCCAGCUGACUCAGGCCUGUGAGCAAAAAAAGAAAGAAAAAGGAGUCUUCUGGGAAUGGUGGAGCAGUACGGGAGCCAAACCCCAAGAACAGCCCAGGAGAGCAUCAAAGACUCACAGUGGAUAGUGGGUGAAGAGUCACAUGACACAGUUUUGAACAAACGGUGACUGAGAUUAAAUGGAACUGUGCCUUCAUUCGGUCAUUCAGCCUGCCAACUUACAUCAAGAGUUCUGAAUCUUAAGAAAGCAGGAAAAAUCAGCUUUCUAUUGCCAAUGUCACCACAGAUUACCUGGAACUUCUAUUAUUACGCCAAACAUUUACCUCUUCAACUCAGCGAAGAAGAAAUGUAUUUUUUGUCUUUCAGAAAGUUUAAAAUUGUAAUCUGCUACAAAGCUAGCACUCUGAAGAUUGAAAAAUGAAGUGCUACAUUUCCUUUCCUUCA